RNAcentral lists this ribosomal RNA (253 nucleotides) under uncultured bacterium. RNAcentral describes it as "partial 16S ribosomal RNA". It matches the Rfam family "Bacterial small subunit ribosomal RNA", at positions 524 to 776 of the family's 1533-position model. The record is from RNAcentral.
UGCGAAGGGGGCUAGCGUUGUUCGGAAUCACUGGGCGUAAAGCGCACGUAGGCGGAUUGUUAAGUCGGGGGUGAAAUCCUGAGGCUCAACCUCAGAACUGCCUUCGAUACUGGCAAUCUCGAGUCCGGAAGAGGUUGGUGGAACAGCUAGUGUAGAGGUGAAAUUCGUAGAUAUUAGCUAGAACACCAGUGGCGAAGGCGGCCAACUGGUCCGGUACUGACGCUGAGGUGCGAAAGCGUGGGGAGCAAACAGG